This 750-nucleotide ribosomal RNA is filed under the name Triticum aestivum (bread wheat). RNAcentral's name for it is "partial small subunit ribosomal RNA". Lineage: Eukaryota; Viridiplantae; Streptophyta; Magnoliopsida; Poales; Poaceae. The record is from RNAcentral.
AUGGACUUUCGGAAAGCAUUUGACUCUCUAUCCUGGGCCUCGCUCGAUAAAAUUCUUCUACUUCGAGGCUUCCCCGCCCAAUUCCGACGAUGGAUCUCCAAUAUCUUGACUACGGGCAAAUCCUAUGUGCUUCUUAACGGCGUCCCAGGCCCAUGGAUUUCUUGCAAAAAUGGGCUGCGACAGGGGGACCCCAUUUUCCCCUUCCUGUUCAUUAUCGUAGCAGAUCUUCUACAACAAAUGAUCUCCAAAACCCCCCAUCUUUCAUGCCUCCACCACCCCCUCCUCACACAUCUGCCACCCACUACACUACAGUACGCCGACGACACCUUGAUAAUUGCUACUGCCUCCCCCUCGACGGCCACUCUUCUCAAAUCCAUCCUAAAUGACUUCGCGUCUGCCACCGGGUUACAAAUCAACUUCUCCAAGACCUACUUCAUCCCUCUCCACACGUCCCCUCCGGAUCAGCACACCAUUGCUGCCACCCUUGGCUGCCCCGUCUCCUCCUUCCCUCAAACCUACCUUGGCCUGCCUCUCUCCCCCCUUCGCCCACCGCCAAACUUGUUUCUGCCAAUUCUAGAACGUUGCAAAAAAUUCCUUGCAGGUUGGAGAGCCAAGAUGCUCUCUCGUGGCGACAGACUGAUUCUAAUUACAACAGUUCUCGACUCCCUACUCACUUAUUUCAUGUCUAUUUUUGUCUUUCCCAAAAAAGUUCUAAAACAGAUCGAUGCUCUUAGACGUGCUUUCUUCUAG